UUGGAAGUGAAAGACCAGCUGCUGCUCAUGUACCUUAUGGAUUUGACUCACCUCAUUCUGGACAAAGCCUCAGGAGGAUCUCUUCAGGGACAUGAUGCAGUUUUGAGACUGGUGGAGAUUCGCACGGUAUGAAGCAUUUGGAGUUUUAGGUUUCUAAAUUUUGAGCUCCAAGGGUAUCACACAGUAGCUCUCAUUUAAGUGAGUCUUCUCAUGUUUAAGGAAACCAAAUGAGAAAAGGUAUUUUUCCAUUCAUUUGCUCUACUUUGUACAUAUUUUAGGUGCCUUAUGUGGCACCUUAAUAUUGGGACUCUGGUGUGUGCUUCAUUUUGGGAAGGAAAUAUAAUCCUGAUUAACUACCAUGUUGUAGGUUUUGGAAAAGCUUCGUCCCUUGGACCAAAAGCUGAAGUAUCAAAUUGACAAGCUGAUCAAGACUGCAGUGACAGGCAGCCUUAGUGAGAAUGACCCACUUCGUUUUAAGCCUCAUCCCAGCAAUAUGAUGAGCAAGUUGAGCUCUGAGGAUGAGGAGGAAGAUGAAGCAGAAGAUGGCCAGUCUGAGGCUUCAGGGCAGAAAUCUGUGAAGGGAGUGUCUAAGAAAUAUGUUCCUCCACGCUUGGUUCCAGUACAUUAUGAUGAAACAGAAGCUGAGCGGGAGAAGAAGCGUCUAGAACGAGCCAAGAGACGGGCAUUGAGCAGCUCUGUCAUUCGUGAACUUAAGGAGCAGUACUCAGAUGCUCCAGAGGAAAUCCGUGAUGCUCGGCAUCCCCAUGUUACCCGCCAGAGUCAGGAGGACCAACACAGGAUUAACUAUGAGGAGAGCAUGAUGGUGCGUUUGAGCGUCAGUAAGCGAGAGAAAGGACGGCGAAAACGAGCAAAUGUCAUGAGCUCACAACUUCAUUCCCUUACACACUUCAGUGACAUCAGUGCUUUGACAGGGGGAACUGCUCAUCUUGAUGAGGAUCAGAAUCCUAUUAAGAAGCGGAAGAAGAUACCU
Molecule: small RNA, 991 nt
Filed under: Pan troglodytes (chimpanzee)
Lineage: Eukaryota; Metazoa; Chordata; Mammalia; Primates; Hominidae
Description: retained intron
Source: RNAcentral